RNAcentral lists this ribosomal RNA (938 nucleotides) under Pseudomonas fluorescens. RNAcentral describes it as "partial 23S ribosomal RNA". It matches the Rfam family "Bacterial large subunit ribosomal RNA", at positions 583 to 1527 of the family's 2925-position model. Lineage: Bacteria; Pseudomonadati; Pseudomonadota; Gammaproteobacteria; Pseudomonadales; Pseudomonadaceae. The record is from RNAcentral.
ACUUUGUUGGGUGACUGCGUACCUUUUGUAUAAUGGGUCAGCGACUUAUUUUCAGUGGCGAGCUUAACCGAAUAGGGGAGGCGUAGCGAAAGCGAGUCUUAAUAGGGCGUCUAGUCGCUGGGAAUAGACCCGAAACCGGGCGAUCUAUCCAUGGGCAGGUUGAAGGUUGGGUAACACUAACUGGAGGACCGAACCGACUACCGUUGAAAAGUUAGCGGAUGACCUGUGGAUCGGAGUGAAAGGCUAAUCAAGCUCGGAGAUAGCUGGUUCUCCUCGAAAGCUAUUUAGGUAGCGCCUCAUGUAUCACUGUAGGGGGUAGAGCACUGUUUCGGCUAGGGGGUCAUCCCGACUUACCAAACCGAUGCAAACUCCGAAUACCUACAAGUGCCGAGCAUGGGAGACACACGGCGGGUGCUAACGUCCGUCGUGAAAAGGGAAACAACCCAGACCGUCAGCUAAGGUCCCAAAGUUAUGGUUAAGUGGGAAACGAUGUGGGAAGGCUUAGACAGCUAGGAGGUUGGCUUAGAAGCAGCCACCCUUUAAAGAAAGCGUAAUAGCUCCACUAGUCGAGUCGGCCUGCGCGGAAGAUGUAACGGGGCUCAAACCAUACACCGAAGCUACGGGUAUCACGUAAGUGAUGCGGUAGAGGAGCGUUCUGUAAGCCUGUGAAGGUGAGUUGAGAAGCUUGCUGGAGGUAUCAGAAGUGCGAAUGCUGACAUGAGUAACGACAAUGGGUGUGAAAAACACCCACGCCGAAAGACCAAGGUUUCCUGCGCAACGUUAAUCGACGCAGGGUUAGUCGGUCCCUAAGGCGAGGCUGAAAAGCGUAGUCGAUGGAAAACAGGUUAAUAUUCCUGUACUUCUGGUUAUUGCGAUGGAGGGACGGAGAAGGCUAGGCCAGCUUGGCGUUGGUUGUCCAAGUUUAAGGUGGUAGGCUG